UUCACAGCUCCAUUAAAUGGAUAUUAACUGAAUAACAUCAGAUUUCUUCUAGGUCUGCACUAUGAACUAUAGCUUAUACUCUAGCGGCCCUUCGGUCAGAGUUGGCACGCUAACAGUUGUUAGACUCUACGGCUCCGUUAAACAGAUAUUAGUCGAAUAACAUCGAAUUUUGCCUGGAUUUGUGCUGUGAACUGUAGCUCAUACUCCAGUGAUCCUUCAGCC
Molecule: long non-coding RNA, 222 nt
Filed under: Elaeis guineensis (African oil palm)
Lineage: Eukaryota; Viridiplantae; Streptophyta; Magnoliopsida; Arecales; Arecaceae
Description: long non-coding RNA (EGUI_LNC033315)
Source: RNAcentral